RNAcentral lists this ribosomal RNA (447 nucleotides) under uncultured bacterium. RNAcentral's name for it is "partial 16S ribosomal RNA". It matches the Rfam family "Bacterial small subunit ribosomal RNA", at positions 329 to 793 of the family's 1533-position model. The record is from RNAcentral.
UACCAGACUCCUACGGGAGGCAGCAGUGGGGAAUAUUGCACAAUGGGGGAAACCCUGAUGCAGCGACGCCGCGUGAGCGAUGAAGUAUUUCGGUAUGUAAAGCUCUAUCAGCAGGGAAGAAAAUGACGGUACCUGACUAAGAAGCCCCGGCUAACUACGUGCCAGCAGCCGCGGUAAUACGUAGGGGGCAAGCGUUAUCCGGAUUUACUGGGUGUAAAGGGAGCGUAGACGGCGGUGCAAGCCAGAUGUGAAAGCCCGGGGCUCAACCCCGGGACUGCAUUUGGAACUGUGCUGCUAGAGUGUCGGAGAGGCAGGCGGAAUUCCUAGUGUAGCGGUGAAAUGCGUAGAUAUAAGGAAGAACACCAGUGGCGAAGGCGGAUUACUGGACGAUAACUGACGGUGAGGCGCGAAAGCGUGGGGAGCAAACAGGAUUAGAUACCCCUGUAU